Molecule: transfer RNA, 24 nt
Filed under: Alaria esculenta (Atlantic wakame)
Lineage: Eukaryota; Phaeophyceae; Laminariales; Alariaceae
Also listed under: 15 other names
Description: partial tRNA-Trp
Source: RNAcentral
GGGGUUCAAAUCCCUCUCUUUCUG